UUACCGUGAAUACGUUCCCGGGUCUUGUACACACCGCCCGUCAAACCAUGAAAGUCACCAAUACCUGAAGUGUCGCUUCGGCGACCCCAAGGUAGGGGAGAUGAUUGGGGUU
RNAcentral lists this ribosomal RNA (112 nucleotides) under uncultured bacterium. Its description in RNAcentral is "partial 16S ribosomal RNA". It matches the Rfam family "Bacterial small subunit ribosomal RNA", at positions 1357 to 1482 of the family's 1533-position model. The record is from RNAcentral.